RNAcentral lists this ribosomal RNA (497 nucleotides) under uncultured bacterium. Its description in RNAcentral is "partial 16S ribosomal RNA". It matches the Rfam family "Bacterial small subunit ribosomal RNA", at positions 28 to 507 of the family's 1533-position model. The record is from RNAcentral.
GAUGAACGCUGGCGGCGUGCCUAAUACAUGCAAGUCGAGCGAACGGACGAGAAGCUUGCUUCUCUGAUGUUAGCGGCGGACGGGUGAGUGACACGUGGAUAACCUACCUAUAAGACUGGGAUAACUUCGGGAAACCGGAGCUAAUACCGGAUAAUAUUUUGAACCGCAUGGUUCAAAAGUGAAAGACGGUCUUGCUGUCACUUAUAGAUGGAUCCGCGCCGCAUUAGCUAGUUGGUAAGGUAACGGCUUACCAAGGCAACGAUGCAUAGCCGACCUGAGAGGGUGAUCGGCCACACUGGAACUGAGACACGGUCCAGACUCCUACGGGAGGCAGCAGUAGGGAAUCUUCCGCAAUGGGCGAAAGCCUGACGGAGCAACGCCGCGUGAGUGAUGAAGGUCUUCGGAUCGUAAAACUCUGUUAUUAGGGAAGAACAUAUGUGUAAGUAACUGUGCACAUCUUGACGGUACCUAAUCAGAAAGCCACGGCUAACUACGUG